CUGCAGGUGGCGCUCCCGGGUUUGCUUUGCCCUCGCAGCCCCCACGAACACGCACUAACUUCAUGCGGGGAGCCAAAGAGGAAGAGUUCUGCAGCCUAACGGGAACAGCUAAAGACGGUGGGACUUUCAGGUGGUUUCAGCUGGCGCAGCCUUGGGCUUUCUUCGGGAAGAGUUUAGCAAAAAGGGGGGGGGAGGCAAGAAAAAAAGGAAGAAAGAAGAGGAAAAGAAAGAGAAAAAAGAAAACAACCCAACCCCAAACACAACCCCGGCUCCGACCUGUCAGGGUUGGUUGCUUUUCCGUCUGCCUCUAAAUGAACCUUUUCUCUCUGGCGUUUUCAAAGCGGCCCUUCCACCCUCCAACCUAGGGGCAUUUACACUUCAAACAAGGUUCCCGCCUCCCUGCGGAAAUUUAAAGGCAAAUAAACUUUUGGGGAGUUGCUCUGA
Long non-coding RNA from Heterocephalus glaber (naked mole-rat), 444 nucleotides. RefSeq lists it as uncharacterized. The record is from RefSeq and is a predicted model, not a curated record. NCBI's taxonomy places the organism in Eukaryota, Metazoa, Chordata, Mammalia, Rodentia, Bathyergidae.